AUGCCGCGGAAGUACUGGAAGCCGCGGGGAGGCCCUGGAUGUGUGGCGCCCGCGCCGGAGCUUCACUGGAAGGCCCUAAAUCCUAACCCCGUCCCUGCGGAGGUCCCCGAGUGCUCCCGCUCCCGCGCCGCCGAGGUGUCCGACGACGACGCCUUUGUGGACGUCCCCGCCACCGCUGAGGAUGCUGUCGUGGAGGAAGAAAUAGCAACAAAGCUGGUGGGGAUUCACAUGGAGUUGAGUCAGGAGGAGCUGCGCGCUAACCAUCAGAUGCAGGAGGACGAGAUAUUUGCCUUGGAAGCAAUUUUUGGAGACAGCAUCGUCAUUUUAAACAAAAAAGAAGGUCAACGGUCUUUCCAGGUUCAUGUACAUAUUGAGAUACCAGAUGAUGGUAUAGAUGUCUCGGCAAGGCUCGACUAUGGUACUGGAACAUUAAAUUAUGGGGAAACAUGUGAUGGUGAUGCCUCGGAUAAUCUUGUUUACAAGUUUAGGGUUGAGCAUUUGCCUCCAAUCCUGCUAACAUGCUACCUGCCUUCGUCCUACCCGAGUCAUCAACCUCCCUCUUUCACCAUCUCCACCGAAUGGCUGGACACAGUGAAGAUUUCAUCGUUAUGUCAAAUGCUUGAUAUGAUUUGGGAAGAGCAGCAGGGCAUGGAAGUAAUAUAUCAGUGGGUUCAGUGGCUCCAAAACUCUUUACUUUCUCACCUAGGGUUUGCUGAUGAGAUAAUUUUAAGCAAGGGUGAUCUAACCUGUCAUGAAGAUGGUCGGGAUAAGCAUGCUUGUCGAGAUGAUUCUGCACCUGAUGUUAUAAUUACAAGGAUUAUGAGAUAUGAUGAUGAUAAGCGUCAUGAAGCCUUCUUACAUGAUAUUCAUGACUGCAUGAUAUGCUUCAGCGAGUUUCCUGGUGUCGAUUUUGUCACACUUCCAUGCCAUCAUUUCUUUUGCCGGAAAUGCAUCCAAACAUACUGCAAAAUUCAUGUCAAGGAAGGAACUGUAUUGAAGUUGACGUGUCCUGAUACAAAAUGUGAAGGUGUUGUUUCUCCUCAUAUAUUGAAAACACUUCUGGCGGAGGAUGAGUAUGAACGUUGGGAAAAACUGCUUCUUCAGAGAACUCUCGAUGCCAUGAAUGAUUUAGUUUAUUGUCCAAGGUGCGAAACUGCUUGCUUGGAGGAUGAAAGUAACGAUGCGGUGUGUCCGAGUUGUCUAUUCAGCUUCUGCACGCUUUGUACAUCCCACCGUCAUGUGGGGAAACAAUGUAUGACCGCAGAGGAAAAAAUUCGAAAGUUGGAGGAACGGCUAAAAUCUAGGCAGGAACGCGGUGAUCAGAAUUUGACAGAUGAAGUACUCAGCCUCCAGGCAAUUAUGAGGGAUGCAAAACAGUGCCCACGAUGCAAGAUCGCUAUAUAUAAGAUAUCAGGAUGCAAUAAGAUGACAUGUUCGAACUGCGGGCAUUACUUCUGCUACCAAUGUAACUUUGCAAUUGUUGGAUAUGAACACUUCAGACCGGGUGCAUGUGAUCUUUUUUCUCGGGAGGAAAUCCGUAGAUGGGAAGCACGCAUGAACCCAGGGAGGGGGCGUGUAGAGGACGCUCCAGCUCCUGCCCCAUUGCCUCAAGGACGAUAUCGUCACCCUUGUCCUACAUGUGGUAAAGGAACUCCAAAGAUUGGAAACAAUAACCACAUCUCCUGUGGGUCAUGCCAGACAGGGUUCUGUGCAUUGUGCCGGAAGACUGUCCACAAAACUUCACAGCAUUUUGGUCCCAGGGGAUGCAAGCAACACACUCCAGAUCGCGACUGA
RNAcentral lists this ribosomal RNA (1794 nucleotides) under Triticum aestivum (bread wheat). Its description in RNAcentral is "partial small subunit ribosomal RNA". The record is from RNAcentral. Lineage: Eukaryota; Viridiplantae; Streptophyta; Magnoliopsida; Poales; Poaceae.